Molecule: long non-coding RNA, 623 nt
Organism: Lactuca sativa (garden lettuce)
Lineage: Eukaryota; Viridiplantae; Streptophyta; Magnoliopsida; Asterales; Asteraceae
Source: RefSeq, a predicted model, not a curated record
AUGAAUGGAGAUAAAUGAUAGAAUGAUGAUGAUUAGAGAUGGUGUCAGCCAUGGAAGUGUAGAACUUGACGACUCUCUGUUCUUGAUGCAUUUUGUGUCCAUUUUCUCUCUCCAGAAAAUGGAGCGAGUGUGUUUUUGGUGGAUGCUUCAACUUUGAAGAAAGAGGUUGCUGAAGGUGUUUGACUUGAUGGUUGUAAGGGAACUUACAGGAGGAAUUUACUUUGGAAAACCAAGAGGAUUUGGAACCGAUGAAAAUGGACGCCGGCGGAGAAAAACACCAAGAUUAUUCGUUUAGAGGGGGUGGCCCACCAAGUAAACCCUCCGUGGUCACAUGUGGGAGGUAGAUUUCUGGGAUCGAGACAUCUUUAGAGAGUUUGAAACCUUCCGGUGUAUUUGCGUUACAUAAAGCACAAAUCGAGUUUUUUACAAGUAAGGAACGAAUCUUGAUAUUUCAGGCCCCUAUGGAAAUAAAAAAUAAUUUUCAUGUUAAAGUGAUGCUAGUAACCAAAGUUAAUAACAUGAUAUUAAAUAUUGAUUAGUGAAAGCUGUAACGUCCGCGUUUUCAGGCUAGACAUUUUCGUUGAUGUAAUAGUCUAGGUUAACCUUUGUAACCCGUUUUGAAA